AUUGAACGCUGGCGGCAGGCUUAACACAUGCAAGUCGAGCGAGCGGCGGACGGGUGAGUACUGUCUGGGAAACUGACUGAUGGAGGGGGAUAACUACUGGAAACGGUAGCUAAUACCGCAUCCCAUCAGAUGUGCCCCGAUGGGAUUAGCUAGUAGGUGGGGUAAUGGCUCACCUAGGCGACGAUCCCUAGCUGGUCUGAGAGGAUGACCAGCCACACUGGAACUGAGACACGGUCCAGACUCCUACGGGAGGCAGCAGUGGGGAAUAUUGCACAAUGGGCGCAAGCCUGAUGCAGCCAUGCCGCGUGUGUGAAGAAGGCCUUCGGGUUGUAAAGCACUUUCAGCGAGGAGGCGUGACUCGCAGAAGAAGCACCGGCUAACUCCGUGCCAGCCGCCGCGGUAAUUC
This 406-nucleotide ribosomal RNA is filed under the name uncultured bacterium. RNAcentral describes it as "partial 16S ribosomal RNA". It matches the Rfam family "Bacterial small subunit ribosomal RNA", at positions 30 to 526 of the family's 1533-position model. The record is from RNAcentral.